GAAUACGUUCUUUCUAAGUGGAACUAUAGACAUUGAAUCCAGAAUGUUGCUGCUGCUGAUCCUGUUGUUGAAUAUUACAGUUUCAGUGUCAGGGAUCCAGAACCUGAAAGUGUCAUGCAGUCAUGAGAAGAUCUGUGCUCUGAGGGAGUCGUCUGUAAACCUGACGUGCUCUUACUCAAAUAUCAACAUCACCACUGGAUUCUGGUUCAGCUUCAAAGACUUUAGACUCCGACUACGCCGGACGUGUGAACUACACAGAGAUGACAAACUCAAGAUCAACAGACCCGAGAGAGAGAGACGCGGGGGAAUAUCGCUUCAUGCUCAUUACGGAUAAAGGAGAGAAAUACGUGAGCUCAGCUGGAGUUACUCUGACAGUUACAGAUCUGCAGGUGAUCCGUCACUACAAAAGUCAAGCUCUAAUCUGCCACACUUCCUGUCAUCUAACCUUUGCUGCUAAUGUGUACUACUGGUACAAGGAUCAAUACAUACAGGAUAACAAAGACACCCAGGGAACUUUCCCUUUAAGCAAUGAUGAAGAAGUCAGUUACUCCUGCUCUGUU
Molecule: long non-coding RNA, 560 nt
Organism: Hemibagrus wyckioides
Lineage: Eukaryota; Metazoa; Chordata; Actinopteri; Siluriformes; Bagridae
Exons: 3
Source: RefSeq, a predicted model, not a curated record